GUGGGUAGUUUGACUGGGGCGGUCUCCUCCCAAAGCGUAACGGAGGAGCACGAAGGUUAGCUAAUCCUGGUCGGACAUCAGGAGGUUAGUGCAAUGGCAUAAGCUAGCUUGACUGCGAGCGUGACGGCGCGAGCAGGUGCGAAAGCAGGUCAUAGUGAUCCGGUGGUUCUGAAUGGAAGGGCCAUCGCUCAACGGAUAAAAGGUACUCCGGGGAUAACAGGCUGAUACCGCCCAAGAGUUCAUAUCGACGGCGGUGUUUGGCACCUCGAUGUCGGCUCAUCACAUCCUGGGGCUGAAGUAGGUCCCAAGGGUAUGGCUGUUCGCCAUUUAAAGUGGUACGCGAGCUGGGUUUAGAACGUCGUGAGACAGUUCGGUCCCUAUCUGCCGUGGGCGCUGGAGAAUUGAGGGGGGCUGCUCCUAGUACGAGAGGACCGGAGUGGACGCAUCACUGGUGUUCGGGUUGUCAUGCCAAUGGCACUGCCCGGUAGCUAAAUGCGGAAGAGAUAAGUGCUG
This 513-nucleotide ribosomal RNA is filed under the name Klebsiella pneumoniae. RNAcentral's name for it is "partial 23S ribosomal RNA". It matches the Rfam family "Bacterial large subunit ribosomal RNA", at positions 2261 to 2773 of the family's 2925-position model. The record is from RNAcentral. Lineage: Bacteria; Pseudomonadati; Pseudomonadota; Gammaproteobacteria; Enterobacterales; Enterobacteriaceae.